RNAcentral lists this long non-coding RNA (320 nucleotides) under Sus scrofa (pig). RNAcentral describes it as "lncRNA (ENSSSCG00070019627.1)". Lineage: Eukaryota; Metazoa; Chordata; Mammalia; Artiodactyla; Suidae. The record is from RNAcentral.
AUUGGCCUUUCUCCCUUACAUGCCCAGUUUUGGAACAUGUCAGCUUCUAUCCCAGGUGUCAUCCCAUGCACUUGAUAGGAAGUGGAGGUGGGAUAUAGGAAGAGAGCCACAGCAGCCUACCAGCCAGAGUCCCAAGCCGGUGUUUUAGAGGCAUGGUUUCAUGUACGCACAUCUUAGAACUAAAAUUACUUCAUGGAUGCCUGCUGCAAAGCUGAAGAAAACACCCAGAAGGCCAAAGCAGUGUCCAUAGGAUGCACCACUCUAUGGAAGAAGCAAACAAGUCAUGUACAUCCAGUACUCUGGGAAUGCAGGCUUCCCGG